AACGGCCGUACCAUGCUGAAUAUACCGGUUCUCGUUAGAUCACCGAAGUCAAGCAUCAUUGGGCGCGGUCGGUCAGUACUUGGGAGGGUGACCACCUGGGAACACUGCGUGCCGUU
Molecule: non-coding RNA, 116 nt
Organism: Caerostris darwini
Lineage: Eukaryota; Metazoa; Arthropoda; Arachnida; Araneae; Araneidae
Source: the annotation of a GenBank genome assembly